Molecule: ribosomal RNA, 253 nt
Filed under: uncultured bacterium
Lineage: Bacteria
Description: partial 16S ribosomal RNA
Rfam family: Bacterial small subunit ribosomal RNA
Source: RNAcentral
UACAGAGGGGGCAAGCGUUGUUCGGAAUUACUGGGCGUAAAGGGCGCGUAGGCGGCCUUCUAAGUCGAACGUGAAAUCCCUGGGCUCAACCCAGGAACUGCGUCCGAUACUGGGAGGCUUGAAUCCGGGAGAGGGAUGCGGAAUUCCAGGUGUAGCGGUGAAAUGCGUAGAUAUCUGGAGGAACACCGGUGGCGAAGGCGGCAUCCUGGACCGGCAUUGACGCUGAGGCGCGAAAGCCAGGGGAGCAAACAGG